This 497-nucleotide ribosomal RNA is filed under the name uncultured bacterium. RNAcentral's name for it is "partial 16S ribosomal RNA". It matches the Rfam family "Bacterial small subunit ribosomal RNA", at positions 28 to 507 of the family's 1533-position model. The record is from RNAcentral.
GAUGAACGCUGGCGGCGUGCCUAAUACAUGCAAGUCGAGCGAACGGACGAGAAGCUUGCUUCUCUGAUGUUAGCGGCGGACGGGUGAGUAACACGUGGAUAACCUACCUAUAAGACUGGGAUAACUUCGGGAAACCGGAGCUAAUACCGGAUGAUAUUUUGAACCGCAUGGUUCAAAAGUGAAAGACGGUCUUGCUGUCACUUAUAGAUGCAUCCGCGCUGCAUUAGCUAGUUGGUAAGGUAACGGCCUACCAAGGCAACGAUGCAUAGCCGACCUGAGAGGGUGAUCGGCCACACUGGAACUGAGACACGGUCCAGACUCCUACGGGAGGCAGCAGUAGGGAAUCUUCCGCAAUGGGCGAAAGCCUGACGGAGCAACGCCGCGUGAGUGAUGAAGGUCUUCGGAUCGUAAAACUCUGUUAUUAGGGAAGAACAUAUGUGUAAGUAACUGUGCACAUCUUGACGGUACCUAAUCAGAAAGCCACGGCUAACUACGUG